UUAAAUUGAAGAGUUUGAUCAUGGCUCAGAUUGAACGCUUGGCGGCAGGCCUAACACAUGCAAGUCGAACGGUAACAGAAAGCAGCUUGCUGCUUUGCUGACGAGUGGCGGACGGGUGAGUAAUGUCUGGGAAACUGCCCGAUGGAGGGGGAUAACUACUGGAAACG
Molecule: ribosomal RNA, 167 nt
Filed under: Escherichia coli
Lineage: Bacteria; Pseudomonadati; Pseudomonadota; Gammaproteobacteria; Enterobacterales; Enterobacteriaceae
Description: partial 16S ribosomal RNA
Rfam family: Bacterial small subunit ribosomal RNA
Source: RNAcentral